This 124-nucleotide ribosomal RNA is filed under the name Lonchocarpus guatemalensis var. megalanthus. Its description in RNAcentral is "partial 18S ribosomal RNA". It matches the Rfam family "Eukaryotic small subunit ribosomal RNA", at positions 1712 to 1831 of the family's 1831-position model. The record is from RNAcentral. Lineage: Eukaryota; Viridiplantae; Streptophyta; Magnoliopsida; Fabales; Fabaceae.
CGAUUGCGGCGACGUGGGCGGUUCGCUGCCCGCGACGUUGUGAGAAGUCCACUGAACCUUAUCAUUUAGAGGAAGGAGAAGUCGUAACAAGGUUUCCGUAGGUGAACCUGCGGAAGGAUCAUUG